RNAcentral lists this transfer RNA (66 nucleotides) under Drosophila lowei. RNAcentral describes it as "tRNA-Trp". It matches the Rfam family "tRNA". From Rfam's summary of the family: Transfer RNA (tRNA) molecules are approximately 80 nucleotides in length. Lineage: Eukaryota; Metazoa; Arthropoda; Insecta; Diptera; Drosophilidae. The record is from RNAcentral. RNAcentral also lists the same sequence under 1 other name.
AAGGCUUUAAGUUAAAUAAACUAAUAGCCUUCAAAGCUGUAAAUAUAGGUAUUCCUUUAAGCCUUA